CUUCUAUCUACACGAGAUUGGAAACCAAAAUAUUCAAAGGGAUCUCAUGGAUCAGUCUUUUCCAUAUACCCAGGUUCCUUAAUUCCAUAUUCUCGUUCAUAAAUCAUUUUUCUGCAAUAAUAAUAUGGCGGACUAAUAGUGAGAGACAUGAUUGUUAUAGAUGUGGUGAGAGCAUUUACUUAUAUUCUGCCAUGUCUCAUUGUUAAGAUAAAUGCUUGGUCACCCAUCAUCAUCUAUUGGGUAGAGCGUAUUAAGCCUCUUGAUGUGAAAAUUGCUACUGAUAUUUCAGAAGAUGAUUACAGAUAAGUACAUCGUUACACAAUAUAAUAUGUGUAUAUCUACUUCGUUAUACGGGUUAUACGGGUCAUCAAUGGAAUUCCCGUUAUUUGGACGCAUUUUGACGUUAUAAUAGCAUAUAAGUACAACAUUGGCUCCACGAGAACAUUAGUUUUUUAGCCAAAAAAAUAUUAUACAAUUGAGUUGGGAAAGAAACAUUGGAUGCUGAUGGGCUUUAUCUCAAAACCAUAUAGGAAUCAUAGACACCCAAUUUCUUAUUGAUGAAAAAUUGGAUACAUGGAUGAAGCAUCAAUUUUACCAAGAGAAAAACAUGAUUCAAAUGUUAUUUAAAAAAUUCAGCAAUGAAGUGAUGCAUAAAUCAACGGGGUUCCUUCCUCUUCAGCUCCGAACAAAAAAUUAGCAAACUGUGAUUUGUGAUCCUCAACGGGCCAUGUUAUCAUCGAUAUCAUACUCUAUUUCAUAGAACCAUCGUGUUAUCAAUUUUUAUCUCAACAGAUAUCAUCUCACAAAGUUUUGCAGAUUUACAACCACUAGGCACGAGGAGUCCAAUCUUCGUAUCGCAAGUUAUGAUCACAUUACUGGAAUCCAUAUCUACAAGCACACAAAAAACAGAAAAGGUAUAACAAAUUGGGGAUAAACAAAUGGUGAUCACUCACAAAUAUGUAGUUCAUCAAUGGGUCAAAUUCAAAGAUGCAAUCCUCGAAAUAACGAAAUACCAAAAAACGAAAAAAGGAAAAAAGAGCAACAUCAUUUCUCAUAAUUAAUGAAUCCACU
This 1071-nucleotide long non-coding RNA is filed under the name Olea europaea subsp. europaea. Lineage: Eukaryota; Viridiplantae; Streptophyta; Magnoliopsida; Lamiales; Oleaceae. The record is from RNAcentral.